UCACUGGCAGUCUAGUGGUUAAGACUCCACACUUCCAAUGCAAAGGGCCCAGGUUUGAUCCCUGGUCAGGGAA
Molecule: non-coding RNA, 73 nt
Organism: Bos taurus (domestic cattle)
Lineage: Eukaryota; Metazoa; Chordata; Mammalia; Artiodactyla; Bovidae
Source: Rfam